UCGGAACUAAAAAUUAUUAACCGGCCUCUUUGAUUAGUAUGGAUCGCAGCACACUCGUAUUGAUCUUGGGAGCGGCGCUUGUCCUGCUAGCCGCACAGAUAUCUGCUGAAUACGACAUCAGCCAUCAUCUUGUCAAGCGGACACUUCCCUUGUGCAGUCCGAACGAUCACCCUAAUCCAUCGAAAUGCAAAGGUCCCAGAAAGAACCAAUGCACCGCCAGCAGUGACAGUUGCCCGGGAGGGAAAUGCUGUUUGCGAGAUUGCGGCCUGG
This is a long non-coding RNA of Paramacrobiotus metropolitanus, 270 nucleotides long. RefSeq lists it as uncharacterized. The record is from RefSeq and is a predicted model, not a curated record. Lineage: Eukaryota; Metazoa; Tardigrada; Eutardigrada; Parachela; Macrobiotidae. The transcript has 3 exons.